UACGGGGGGGGCAAGCGUUGUUCGGAAUUACUGGGCGUAAAGCGUGCGUAGACGGUUACAUAAGUCGGGUGUGAAAGCCCCGGGCUCAACCUGGGAAUUGCAUUCGAGACUGCGUAGCUAGGGUGCGGAAGAGGGAAGCGGAAUUUCCGGUGUAGCGGUGAAAUGCGUAGAUAUCGGAAGGAACACCAGUGGCGAAAGCGGCUUCCUGGUCCAGCACCGACGUUCAGGCACGAAAGCGUGGGGAGCAAACAGG
RNAcentral lists this ribosomal RNA (253 nucleotides) under uncultured bacterium. RNAcentral's name for it is "partial 16S ribosomal RNA". It matches the Rfam family "Bacterial small subunit ribosomal RNA", at positions 524 to 776 of the family's 1533-position model. The record is from RNAcentral.